Molecule: long non-coding RNA, 484 nt
Organism: Puntigrus tetrazona (Sumatra barb)
Lineage: Eukaryota; Metazoa; Chordata; Actinopteri; Cypriniformes; Cyprinidae
Exons: 4
Source: RefSeq, a predicted model, not a curated record
UUUUCAUCACUUUCACUGAACACAAGCCCGUCUGUUUUCGCUACCUUCUCGCUCAGCAAUACACAGGAUGUCAUGUCAGCGGCCCAAAGCCUCCAAUCACUGGACCACUGGAGUCUGUGACUGUUUGAGCUUUGACAAUAAAGUAGAAUGUUGCGUUUCGUUCUGCUGCUUUCCUUUUUUUGCGUGUAAAACGGCUCAGAGGUAUGGCGAGUGUUUUUUCCUUCCCCUGAUUGAUCAGUUUGGUUUGAUGAGGGUGUCCAUGCGCCAUCACUACAACAUCGAGGGUACUAUAGCGAGGGACUGCUGUCUUACCUUCUUUUGUUGUCCCUGUGUAUGGUGUCAGAUGUCUCGAGAAAUGGACGCCCGUGAACCUGCCACAAAUCAACCUAGAUAAGCACAACUGCCAUGAUAUUUUGGUACUAUAUAUAUAUAUAUAUAUAUAUAUAUAUAUAUAUAUAUAUAUAUAUAUAUAUAUAUAUAUAUA